UACGGAGGAUGCGAGCGUUAUCCGGAUUUAUUGGGUUUAAAGGGUGCGUAGGCGGGCUUUUAAGUCAGCGGUAAAAAUUCGGGGCUCAACCCCGUCCGGCCGUUGAAACUGGGGGUCUUGAGUGGGCGAGAAGAAGGCGGAAUGCGUGGUGUAGCGGUGAAAUGCAUAGAUAUCACGCAGAACCCCGAUUGCGAAGGCAGCCUUCCGGCGCCCUACUGACGCUGGGGCACGAAAGUGCGGGGAUCGAACAGG
RNAcentral lists this ribosomal RNA (252 nucleotides) under uncultured bacterium. RNAcentral describes it as "partial 16S ribosomal RNA". It matches the Rfam family "Bacterial small subunit ribosomal RNA", at positions 524 to 776 of the family's 1533-position model. The record is from RNAcentral.